This is a non-coding RNA of Brachypodium distachyon (stiff brome), 136 nucleotides long. NCBI's taxonomy places the organism in Eukaryota, Viridiplantae, Streptophyta, Magnoliopsida, Poales, Poaceae. The record is from Rfam.
GUCAUAGUCCCUCCGUCCGGUAUUAAGUUUCACAAUUUCGUUUAGAUACACAUGUAUCUACACACUAAAACGCGUCUAGAUAUAUGCUUAUCUAGACAAAGUUGUGACACUUAAAACUGGAUGGAGGGAGUACUUU